This is a long non-coding RNA of Oreochromis niloticus (Nile tilapia), 257 nucleotides long. RefSeq lists it as uncharacterized. NCBI's taxonomy places the organism in Eukaryota, Metazoa, Chordata, Actinopteri, Cichliformes, Cichlidae. The transcript has 2 exons. The record is from RefSeq and is a predicted model, not a curated record.
CACACACACACACACACACACACACACACACAGGUGAAUGAUCAGAGUUUAGUUAAAAUGAUAACGACCCGCUCCUCUCACCGCGGCCAUGUUGGGGUCAUCGAUGGGUGGUACUCACGCCUCGGCGGUCGGUCCGACAGCUCGGUAGUUUGCCGUAGUGCUGAUGAGCUCGGUCUCCUCAUAGUCCUUGUUGACACCAUCUCGCCGCUCUCUCGCUCGGUCUCGGUACUUCUCGGCGAGCUCGCGCUCACGCUCCA